Molecule: ribosomal RNA, 253 nt
Filed under: uncultured bacterium
Lineage: Bacteria
Description: partial 16S ribosomal RNA
Rfam family: Bacterial small subunit ribosomal RNA
Source: RNAcentral
UACAGAGGGUGCAAGCGUUGUUCGGAAUCACUGGGCUUAAAGGGCGCGUAGGCGGGCUGUCAAGUCUGGGGUGAAAUGCCGCGGCUCAACCGUGGAACUGCCUUAGAUACUGACGGCCUCGAGGGAGGUAGGGGCGUGCGGAACUGUAGGUGGAGCGGUGAAAUGCGUUGAUAUCUACAGGAACUCCGGUGGCGAAAGCGGCGCGCUGGACCUCUUCUGACGCUGAGGCGCGAAAGCUAGGGGAGCAAACGGG